This 435-nucleotide ribosomal RNA is filed under the name uncultured bacterium. RNAcentral's name for it is "partial 16S ribosomal RNA". It matches the Rfam family "Bacterial small subunit ribosomal RNA", at positions 29 to 507 of the family's 1533-position model. The record is from RNAcentral.
AACGAACGCUGGCGGCAGGCUUAACACAUGCAAGUCGAACGCGUGCAGCAAUGCACGAGUGGCGCACGGGUGAGUAACGCGUGGAUAUCCGCCUUUUGGUUCGGAAUAACCCCGGGAAACUGGGGCUAAUACCGGAUGGUUCCUACGGGAUAAAGAUUUAUCGCCAAAAGAUGAGUCCGCGUCCGAUUAGUUAGUUGGUGAGGUAAUGGCUCACCAAGGCGACGAUCGGUAGCUGGUCUGAGAGGACGAUCAGCCACACUGGGACUGAGACACGGCCCAGACUCCUACGGGAGGCAGCAGUGGGGAAUAUUGGACAAUGGGGGCAACCCUGAUCCAGCCAUGCGGCGUGAGUGAUGAAGGCCUUCGGGUUGUAAAGCUCUUUUGGCGGGGACGAUGAUGACGGUACCCGCAGAAUAAGCCCCGGCUAACUUCGUG